GAGAAAAUUACUGAGUGGUCAAAAGUAUUUGAUUGUAAAUCAAACGUUAAGUCAUGCGUAGGUUCGAAUCCUGCUUUUCUCA
Molecule: transfer RNA, 82 nt
Filed under: Jenufa minuta
Lineage: Eukaryota; Viridiplantae; Chlorophyta; Chlorophyceae
Description: tRNA-Tyr
Rfam family: tRNA
About the family: Transfer RNA (tRNA) molecules are approximately 80 nucleotides in length.
Source: RNAcentral